UGGCCACGGGAACGUUGAACAACGACUGACCCAUCGUGGUCGUCUCCGAGAAUUGUUCGUCGCCGUCUUUGUAGAAGUAAAAUUUACGUUGGGAGAUGGAACCGUUGACGACGCAGGUGACGCCCGCGGAAGGAGUGUCUGGAGAGCGGCUAGAAGAGAGGAAGAGCUUGGCCGUCCGUCUGUCACAUGAGGCCGGUUGCUACGGAACAGCGGAAAUCAACCUAACACCCCCCCCCCCAAAAAAAAAAGGAGAAAAACCAAACAAACCGAAAAAAAAAAAAAAUCAAUCAUAAACUGCAACAUUUUCUCCUCGUUCCUGGUUAACCCGAGCGUCUCCGUGGCGUCACCAACGUCCCCUGCUGGGUUGUCUCGCCGUUUUCGGCCUCCACGUUAGCGACACGAUGACCACGACAAACACCUGAGGAGCGACGGCUCAACCGAUCCCUGAGAAGAAACCCCAGCCAAUCCCGUUUGAGCGCUCGGUGGCCUGUGACACGUUGACCCGCGCGGUCACGGUGGUGGAUCCGUCUCGUUUCAGAGGUUUUUCUGGUUAUCGAAGCGGCCGAGAAAAGCACGACCCGGCUUGACGUGAUGGUGAGGACCAGAAAUAACCCUUCUCCUCCGGUGGCAUCUGUUGAUGGUUGAGUUUACGGACACGAUGGGAGGAAAUAAAUGUAGGUUUUACUUCCCGAUUCUUGAGGAACCUCAUCCGUGGGGCAGAACUUCCCCUUCGUGACUCAACCUCUUGCGCAGUUCUUCCUGCCUUCCCUGUAUUUGGUGAAAUGGUGACUCAGCUUCAUUUUUUUUUUAGCGAGUUGGCCUCUUUUUUUUGAUUUUUCUUAAGAAAAAGCCUUGAAGUUUGGUCAGUGGGUUGAAAUCGGAAGCUCUGGAGGAUCGUUGGUGGGGAGAUGAGUUAUCCCUGGUUCUGCUUUGGCGAUGCUUUCUUCGGUUCCUGGUGGUGAGGGACGUGGAGGAGAAGUUGGAAGGAGGACGUGGAAAGGACACGCUCCUCAACCGAAGCGAAGUUUAGUUCCUCAGCUCAUCUUCUGGGGCUUUUUUUCUCCUCCCCCGUCCUUGGAUUUGGUGGGGGCUGUUUUGCGGUGGUACCUCCAGCAGUGCACCCCCCCUCAGCUACGGCGUGAGGAGCCAGGAGCUGAAGGAGUCCAUCAGGAAAGCGGUUUCAUGGAGGUUUCAUGACCAGGAUCUUCUUCUGAAGGUCAGAAAUGAUUCCUGAGGGACCUUCCCAAGGUUGUCCCAGACGUGAACUUGCAGAUGGUGUCCUCAAAGAUGGGCAUCUGGAGUGACGGUGACACUUGGCUCGAGGACACUGCAGGACAUGGGGAGGGCUCGUGCCCAGCUUGCUGUCCAACCAACACCCCAGGUCCUUCUCUGAAAAGCUGGUUCCCACCUGGUUGGCCCCCGGCGUCUCGCGACGAACGUCGCCGGGCAGGAACACGCUCAAGGAAACGCCCUGGCGAGGAAAACCGCCAGCGAACGGCUCGAACGUGCGAUGCGAUCGCUCCCCAUCCUCAGGCCGGCCAAGGGGGAAAAAUAAAGUGGAAAAAAAAAAAAAAAAUGUUAGGUGAAUUUAGGUAAGCCGUCCCAUCUACGUCCCCUCCCAACCGCUCGCCCACGUUUGAGGCCAUCGGCGUUGGAGAGACGACCUUGACGUGGUGGGAACACCGCUCGCCAAACCGUUGGCGUGUGAUCGACGCCGUCCUCGCCGGGAAACGCGUGGAAAGUUAACUCCGUCCCCGCCGGACCUGGCCCAGUGGCGUUUGAAGGCGGGGAGGUCUCUUCCAACCUGCGGUCACCUAUGAUGCAAUGAACCAGUUUUUUUUGUCCUCGGAGAGCUCUUUGAAGACAGAGUAGACAGAGGGAGAAGGAGAAAAUGGACCACAGCAGUUCCUCUGAGGAACGGUUCUCCACUCGAACCGUCGGUAGGAAAUCUGUUAGGUAAAUUUGAUGAAACAAGCUUUUCCUGUCAUUUCCUUCAAGUCUUCAAGAGUUGUACAGAUAAUUGGAGCUGUUGCCUAGGAGAAAGAUCUCAAAGAGCUUCUAACAAAAAUGACGUUUUUCUUGUCGAGGGUGAAGUUUAUUUGGGUUUUUUUUCAGCUUAGAGAGGACGCGAUAACCUCUGACUGAUACCGAUCCAGGAGAUUUGGAGAGCCAGACUGGUCGGAGAAGCUGUCCCUCGAGGUCUGACACAGUGCGGACAACCUCGCCCCGCGCCUCUGCAACCCCACCGUGUCUCUCAUCAGCCAGCUGGUGACUCGUGUCCCUUCUCCUUCCAUCCGAUUUCUCUCCCGCACUCUGCGCCUGGGUGUUACGGCUCCUUUGUGCCACCUCCCACCUGCUUUCCUGACGGAACUGGGGUUUUUUUUUUUUUCAUAUUUUCCAACAAACGACAUAAACCUGAUAAAAUUCACCAUUGAAAGCAACCGCUCCUCAACUCUACGCCACGUACAAGCUGCCAUCCAGCGGGGUUCGCCUUCCGCUAAGCGUAACCGCGCGAGAAAUGUUUCAGGCGGCGAGGGAAUUAUAAAAUAAACAUGAUUAAAGAGUUGGCCAAAGACGGAAUUAGGCUGCUGAAAGACAGGCAAGCGUUGAACUUCCAGGAAAGGAUGCAGGAAAUUAUGGGCCCAUCAGUUUUACUUCAAUCCCUGAGAAGGUUGUGGAACGAAUGCUCCUGGGGGCUACCACAAGUCAGAUGAAGCACGUGAUUGGGAUCCUGUGCUGUUCAAGAAUACGAACACCUCAGGACAGCUUGAAAAUUCCUUUCCGAGAUGAUGGCGCUAUUUUUUUUGGUCGUGGGAAAGGACGUGAGAAAGGAAAAGCACCAGAAACUGCGGCUUUGGAGGUGCAGAGCGGAGGUGAGGAUGCAGAAGUGUCCUUCUGAGGGUAGUGCUGUGGUGCACAAAGUGACUCGGAGGGAGUCUGGAUGAACCCACGGCUUUGUGUUUCAGGGAACGUGUGACGAGGAGGGAGAGACAGCAGCGCAGGUAGGGACAUAGCGGGGUGAGAAGAAGGUUGGGAAGCGCGUCGGGUGCCCGCAGGGAAACAGGCAGCGGCGUGGGGCGGUGUACGACGGCCUGUGGUGCCGAUGGCCGAGGGUGCUGGCAAGGCUGAAAGGCCCCGAUAGAACCGAGGUCUUUGCCCCUUUGGCUAUGGCUGACGUCGCUGCCACCGAGGCCUCAGAGGAGACACCUUGUCCUCAUGGCCAUGGGGCAUCGUCGCCUCCUUGCACCCACCGCGGGAGAGGCCGUGAGGUGUCAUACCGUUGUCCUUCCCUCGGCGUCACGCUCCCCACCAUGACAAGGCAGAGCCCGGAGACACAGGUGAGGGUCAGGAUGUCCCUUGCCAGGGGCUGGGGGUCAGCGCUUGGCAUUUCUGCUUCACCAGACAAAGCCAGGGUGUCCUCAGCAUCAGAGCUGCCUGCACUUUGCCUUGCUUUGUCAUCAUGGCCUCCAAUUAUCUGCUCUAACGAGUCGCUGGGGAGGCUUUGUCAGUAAUGGCCCCCAGUGGGGCCCAUUGAUGCUUCAAGGUACUUUGGGCUUUACUUGGCCUUCUUGAGAGCUUUCUUCAGUCUCCUUUUUUUGGUACUUGAGUUUCAUGGACUCAGCAGCAAACACGCCAUGGGGCUCAUUAAAGUGCAGAAAACUCUAACGAGCCACGUCUCUUCCCGUAAUUUUCUUCAAGUCCUCAAGACUUGUACAACUAAUUGGAGAGGCUGAAAUCGGGUACUUAAUGAUGAAGAUUUCAAAGAUGAUUUCAUGAAGGAGGAUUUUUUUUUCUUUCAAGGCUGUUUUCUCUCACGUUUCAGUUUAUAGAAGAAGUGAUAGCAGCAUUCUACAAUGGAUGUUGGUCCAAGCUGUCUCCUAAAGACAUCUGGACAGGCAGGAGAAGCAGUCCCUUGAGAUCCAACGCUGUCUGGACCAACCUCGUUCCUCCCCAAGGCCACCAGUUCCCUCAUCGGCCACCUGGGCCUUGCAUCGCCUUUCCUCACGUCAGACUUCUCCAGUGAGCUCUGCGGCUGGAUGGUAACAGCUCCUUCACACCAGCUCCCACCUGCUUUCCUUGGAGACCUGGGCUGCACACAGGCACACAAACGUUUCUCUUCGUUGACAACAAACGACGGUUAAACGCGAUACGAGUUAAGGAACGUGAAAUCUCUCUCCGCAGCUGGAUGCUAAGUCCAAGCAGCGUCUAACGUGCUCCACCUUUCACAAGGGAUUUCCGUACAAGAAGAGUUUUAAACAUGGAGAUAACAAAGGGUAGAUACAGACCCAGUGAAGGUGUCGACUAACGAGUUCAUUAGACUUCUGAAAGACGGGGCAAGUUUCUAACUCCCUGAAGCUCAAAGCAGAAACCAGAGAGUUGAGAGGCAUCUGAAUGACCAAAGAGCAAGCGGAGGAGGAAACCUGAGAGCAACGGGAAGGGCGUACGUCCAGAUAGUCUGCUGCAAUGAUGUCCUUAGGCGUGGCCAUUGAACCAGGAGAGGUGGAAACACCUGAGCGACGAGGGAGAUGAAAGAAUAGGGGUAGAUGAAUAUUUCUUCUGCUAUUAUUAUUAUAUUUCCUGGAAAUUCCCGUUCUGUCAUGGUGGGAAAACGUUGGCAGUUCUUACAAGUACUUCAAGGAGUCACCUGAUGAACAUUUCUUUGUAGAUGAUUUCAAUGACAAAAAAAAAGACCCCUGUGCCCCUUUCCAUGCAGACACCAGUUGUCUGAGCGUGAAGAGGCAGUGCCACUUUGAGGGGCCCCCGUGUACCUGAGGUGCUGGCCUGGGAUUGGCAUCUGGCACAGAGGACCUGUGGGAGAGCAGAGCCCCUUGCAAGCUGCAGGUGGAGGCUGGGCAGGGCUUCCCAGGGCAUCUACACUGGCACCAGGUCUCUGUGUCCCUCGAGCUGAAGGCAUUCGUGUCCUACAUCCAUUCCCGGUUCUGGGAAAAGGCAAUUCCCCUCCAAAGACAGGGGAAAAAAAAAAAAAAAAGCUGAAGAGUGUGUUGACACCUCUCUUUGCUUUGGUUCUUUGUCUUCAGAUCUUCUUCCUUUCAUUUCCAUGACAUUCACUGACAUCUGAGAGGUCUACAGGCAUUAAACCAAGAUCAUCUGGGGUCUUGCACAGAGCCCCCAAAACCUUCCCUGCCCAGGACUCCCCAGUCUUUGCACAGAGCGAGUCCCACUGAGGUGUGGACCUCUCUUCACUGGUUGACGGGUUGGUUUAGAUGGUCACCUACAGCACAGGAGGAUUCAUGCCCCGUAAACGUCUGCAGAACUCCAGUUCGAAAUAGG
This is a long non-coding RNA of Grus americana (Whooping crane), 5292 nucleotides long. RefSeq lists it as uncharacterized. NCBI's taxonomy places the organism in Eukaryota, Metazoa, Chordata, Aves, Gruiformes, Gruidae. The transcript is spliced from 6 exons. The record is from RefSeq and is a predicted model, not a curated record.